UACGUAGGGUGCGAGCGUUAAUCGGAAUUACUGGGCGUAAAGCGUGCGCAGGCGGUGAUGUAAGACAGGUGUGAAAUCCCCGGGCUUAACCUGGGAACUGCAUUUGUGACUGCAUCGCUGGAGUGCGGCAGAGGGGGAUGGAAUUCCGCGUGUAGCAGUGAAAUGCGUAGAUAUGCGGAGGAACACCGGUGGCGAAGGCGGCAUCCUGGACCGGCAUUGACGCUGAGGCGCGAAAGCCAGGGGAGCAAACGGG
RNAcentral lists this ribosomal RNA (253 nucleotides) under uncultured bacterium. RNAcentral describes it as "partial 16S ribosomal RNA". It matches the Rfam family "Bacterial small subunit ribosomal RNA", at positions 524 to 776 of the family's 1533-position model. The record is from RNAcentral.